Molecule: ribosomal RNA, 542 nt
Filed under: uncultured bacterium
Lineage: Bacteria
Description: bacterial SSU rRNA
Rfam family: Bacterial small subunit ribosomal RNA
Source: RNAcentral
UACGGGAGGCAGCAGUGAGGAAUAUUGGUCAAUGGGCGCGAGCCUGAACCAGCCAAGUAGCGUGCAGGACGACGGCCCUAUGGGUUGUAAACUGCUUUUAUACGGGGAUAAAGUAUGCCACGUGUGGUUUAUUGCAGGUACCGUAUGAAUAAGGACCGGCUAAUUCCGUGCCAGCAACCGCGGUAAUACGGAAGGUCCGGGCGUUAUCCGGAUUUAUUGGGUUUAAAGGGAGCGUAGGCCGGGUUUUAAGCGUGCCGUGAAAUGUCGGGGCUCAACCUUGACACUGCGGCGCGAGCUGGAGUCCUUGAGUGCGCGGAACGUAUGCGGAAUUCGUGGUGUAGCGGUGAAAUGCCUAGAUAUCACGAAGAACCCCGAUUGUGAAGGCAGCAUACGGCAGCGCUACUGACGCUGAAGCUCGAAGGCGCGGGUAUCGAACAGGAUUAGAUACCCUGGUAGUCCGCGCGGUAAACGAUGGAUGCCCGCUGUUGGCGAUAUAUUGUCAGCGGCCAAGCGAAAGCGUUAAGCAUCCCACCUGGGGAGUA